Long non-coding RNA from Chrysemys picta bellii (western painted turtle), 3304 nucleotides. RefSeq lists it as uncharacterized. The record is from RefSeq and is a predicted model, not a curated record. NCBI's taxonomy places the organism in Eukaryota, Metazoa, Chordata, Testudines, Emydidae.
CUAAGCUUUAUGCUCAGCCUACACUUGGCUCCUCUAGCUGCUCCCCCACACACACCCACUAGGACUAUUAAACCAUGUGACUCACCCUACAUCUGACUCCCCUCCACAAGAUACAGCUCCACUGGAACCCAGAGGCAGAUAAUAGAGAGAGACCAUUGGACCCCCAGAAUCAAAGCAGAGGCACAAAAGCUCUGUGCAGAAGGCCUUUGCUUCCUAUGGAAAUCUGCCUUCCCUCCCCCCAAAGAAACAUGGAGCAUUUCUGAUUCAGUGUUGACUGAAAGACAAAUUCAUGGCCACAGAUGUAACAAAUUUGAAAAUCCAGACAGCAUUCUGGCCGACGAAGAUGAUUCUGCAUGAAAGAAAAGAAUACAAGACAUGUAACUGACAGACUAGAUAAAACCAUUAAUAUGAAGUUUUGAACUACAUGUAUUUCUUGAAUUGAACUUUAAAUUCACCAUGCAACUGGGAAAUUAAAUUAGCAAUAAAGUUUGGAUCAUAACACUUCCUUGGAGAAAGCAACAAAACAAACUGUACAUCUUUUGAUACAAGAUAUUACGCUGUAAUUUUAGCAAGGGUUUCUGGGAACAACUAAAUAAAAAAUAAACACACAACCAUACAUUUUAUUCAUUUUGGAUUAAUUUUAUACAAUGAUUGGCUACCAAUAAAAAUACAGAUUCCUGCUGGAACUGUACUUUUUCAGCUUAUGACACUCCUUGAGCUCAAUUUUCAAACUUGGUUUCAUGAAAGUGAAAAUUUCAGUGAAACUUUGUGGAAAUGGAACCUUAAUGACAAAAAUAAAUCUUUAUUAAUGUCUAUGCCUGUUAGCACAGCACAGUUGUGGGAGUGGGAGUUGGAUUCUCCUCUGAGUUCCAUAUCAUCAGCAGAAUUGCAAACCCGGUUCUAAUAGCAGGGUCAAAUUCUGCUCUCAGCUACGCUUGAGCAAUUGGUUGAAGAUGAAUUUUAUUAAUGGGUGUGAUGCAUAUGCAGGAAAAAGAACCCAGCUUGACUUUUAGAACCCAAGAGGGCCUUGCAAGUUUUACUUGGAAACAUAGAAAAUGGAAUAUGCAUGAAAUGGAGGCAUUAAAACAAAGAAGCACAAUAAACAGAGAUACAUGAUGCUUUUUUUACACAGUCACUUUUCAGAGUAAAACUGCACUGUAUAAGCUGCACUGCCAAGCACCCUCAACAUGCCCUACUUUACUAAGAGUUCAGAGGGUUCAGCACUGCACAUGAAAUGCUAAAUGACUCACAUGAUCAGAAUCAUUACUAGAAUAUUCUGAUCCCACAUCUGGAUACUCAGAUAGACAUUUAAAUGAGUAAAACAGGCAUUUUCUAAGAAGAUAUUUAGAUGUUGAAGAAAUUGCCCAUUUUCCAUGCCUAAGAGCUGAUUUAAGUAUUCAAAUAUAGGUGCGGGGUGUUCCUGUUUAUUAAUGUAAUCACUUACAUUGCAACCAUCAUGAAAUAUAUUGCUAACAGUUGGUCAUAAGAGACCAUUCACUGCCAUGACCAAUACCAAGCACAAUGAACAUCCUAGCAGCUUUUAAUGAGAUUGCUACUUAGCAUUUAUAUCAAAUUUCAAGUUGCUUCACAAUUUCAAAACACUAAAUCAUUGAUUAAUUAAACUUCACUGGUUGAAAGCUAAGCUUUAUUGUCCCGAUUUUACAGCUACGAAAACUGAUAAGGAGAUGUUAAGUGACUUGCCCAAACCUUCAGAGUGUCAGUGGAAUAGACAAAAAAUGAACUGUGUACUUCCUAAUUACUAGUCGUAUGCUCUGAACACUAAACCUGUUAAAAUCAGUGAAAUACCAUCUCAGAUAAAUGCAUCUUCUGCUGCAUCUACAUAUUUAACAACCAUAAUCCUUUGUACCUUUGUAGUACUUGACAUUAGAAGAUCUCAAAGCCUUUUACAAACAUGAAUGAACUAAGCUUCACAACAAGCAUGUAGGAUAAGCACUGUUAUCACUGCUUAACAGAUCAAGAAACUGAGGCACAGAGCAGUUAAGUGACUGGCAUAAGCUCACAUAGCAAGUAUGUGGCAGUGCCAAUAAUAAAAUCUAGAUCUUCCAACUAUCUGACCAUUCUCCUUCCUAAUGGCCCCAGAGUCAGGCUCUGGCCAAUCACAAGAGGGAGCAAAUUCUGAAGCAAAGUACGUGGCUAUUCGCCUUCAAGAAUUCAGCUCUCAGCAUGUUUCAACAUUGGGAUUUUUGCCUUUCUUAUAGUUUCUGUAAAUUGUCCCCUUCAUAUAUGUGUGUACUUUACAUGCGAGUCCUAUUAAAUGCAAGGUGAGCUAUGUGAAUACCAUUCUCAACACACUAUUUGACAAAUUUAGCACCCUUUUCUGUUUGCAAGUUAUCCACAGAGAGUUAGACUUUUACCCAUUUGUUAGUUAUUCAGAAUUAUUUGAUAAUUUUACUUAUUGGUAUUCCGUACUUAAAGACACAACAUAAGAAGAACUCUCAUGCAGGGCUCUAGGCAUCCUUGCCAUUAACUAGUAAUAGAAACACAAAAAUGACAAAAGUCAAAAUAGGAUCACUUUUCUGGACCUAACACCACCCUUAAUAUUUUACAGGGACAUAUUUCAGCCCAGAUGUUUCUCACAGACUAUUUGCUAGGACUAUUGCUUCAAGCAUUUGGGUUUUGCAAUUUGCUAUUCGUACUGGGGGUGAUAUUCACUCCCCAAUGAAAGGCGAAGACAAUGCUUUUGCAUUACUUAAGUCUUCCAGUGUGGCUAAAGCAGAGCAUAGGCCUUGCACUGGUCCACUGCACACGGGUAAAUUUAGCACAGAUUGUAUGCACUUUAGUGCAGGGACUGUAUUUUUAUUACAUGUUUGUACAACGCAGAGCACAUUGGGAACUGAUCACUAACUGAGGCUUCGUGGGGCUAGUGUAAAACACAUACAAAGUAAUAAAAAUAUGAGUGGUCACCAGAGUUGCAUGUUAUUUUUUCUGUUGCCAGUCCCACAAAUAGCUGUCAAGUUGGUUGCACUAACACUGGUAUGGAUUGUGGCUGUGUAUUCCCAGGAUAUCAUGACACUUUCUAACACUGACAAAUUCAAAUUGGCUCAUGCAAAGGUUUGUGGAGAGUGAAUACAAGGGGUUGUGAAUGCCAUCAAAGCAAAUCUGUAAUUUUUAUAAGAACAAGUGUCUGUGAACAACUAUUUUGCAAUAUGCAGGCAGCUCUCCUGCAAACACAUUAGGGAAAAUAUGCAUUCCGAAUUUAACAUCAUCUUCUCUAAAAUUCUAAUGUAUCAUUACAGCUUAUAUAAUGACAUUGUAAAGUACAAGACUGUAAAAGCCUGUAAUU